AGAAAGUGAGUAGGGAAACAGGCUUUUAAACAACCAUGCAUGACUGGUUUUGUCAUAUCUCCGUGUACAAUCUACUUUCUUACUCUAGUCUUUCUCUCUCUCUCUUUCUGUCUAUCUCGCUCUGCCCUUUACCCCUCCCAGAGUAGGCAGAACCAGAGAGCUUCAAGCCAGAAACUUAUCUUACAGUUCACAGGACAUUCAGAGCUAGCAGGAGUGAAAGUCAGGCAAAAGCUUUAGUUCUCAUUGCUUCACAAUGUCAGACAGUCCAAACCAGGAGCCUACCACCACAGCGGCAGAAGAGACACCGCCACCAGCAGAGAAGAGUUGUGCAGACCUAAAAACAGCAAUGGAAAAAUGCAUCACAGAUAAAGGAGAAGCAAGUUGUACAGAACUGCUGGAGGCCUACAAGAAAUGUAUAAAAGCCCUGGGAACUAAAGCAUAGGACUCGUAUAUUUUACUAGGUGGUUGCAAGACAGAAGGGAUUGCCCUGAAUCCAUCAGCUUCACACCGCCCUUCAGCCUACCUGUGAACUGAUAUAAUGCACCUGGAUUCUGAUGUGGAUGAACUAUAAUUCCUAUGUAAAAAAAACAGCAGUGCAGGUGGAACAAUGUAUUAUUGUUAAUAAAACGGGUCAAUGUUUCCUACAUGAAGAGAUACAUAGUAGGACAGCCUGAAGAUGUUAUGUUUUCGUAAAAGAGAUUACUAAUAAACUUUCUAUGUUUUACCUA
Molecule: long non-coding RNA, 728 nt
Organism: Protopterus annectens (West African lungfish)
Lineage: Eukaryota; Metazoa; Chordata; Ceratodontiformes; Protopteridae
Exons: 3
Source: RefSeq, a predicted model, not a curated record